Molecule: unclassified non-coding RNA, 268 nt
Filed under: Hevea brasiliensis (rubber tree)
Lineage: Eukaryota; Viridiplantae; Streptophyta; Magnoliopsida; Malpighiales; Euphorbiaceae
Source: RNAcentral
CACCGACGUGCUCUCCAUCCGCCACCACGAGCCGGCACUGAUGGCUCUUCCCUUGAUCCGCCAGGCGUAUUUGGAGCAGACGUCGGUGGCGGUGGUGACUGAUGAUGGCAAGCUGAUCGGGGAGAUUUCCCCGUCGACGCUUGUUGGCUGUGAUGUGACGGUGGCGGCAGCGUUUGCUGCACUGAACGCCGGUGAGCUGAUGGCUUACAUGGAUUGCAAUGGGGCUCCGCCUGAGGGAGCGGUUAGAGCUAUUAAGGCAAUGCUGAAG